This 133-nucleotide ribosomal RNA is filed under the name uncultured bacterium. RNAcentral describes it as "partial 16S ribosomal RNA". It matches the Rfam family "Bacterial small subunit ribosomal RNA", at positions 356 to 480 of the family's 1533-position model. The record is from RNAcentral.
GAGGAAUCUUGCGCAAUGGGCGAAAGCCUGACGCAGCAACGCCGCGUGGGUGAUGAAGGCCUUCGGGUCGUAAAACCCUGUCAGGUGGGAAGAACUGGCGGCGGGUUAACACCCCGUCGUCUUGACUGUACCA